Molecule: transfer RNA, 58 nt
Filed under: Leiolepis belliana belliana
Lineage: Eukaryota; Metazoa; Chordata; Lepidosauria; Squamata; Agamidae
Description: tRNA-Ser
Source: RNAcentral
AAGAGAAUCACUAGAACUGCUAAUUCUUACUCCCGAUGUUAAUCCCUCGGAUCUCUUA